CCUACGGGAGGCAGCAGUGAGGAAUAUUGGUCAAUGGACGAGAGUCUGAACCAGCCAAGCAGCGUGAAGGAUGACUGCCCUAUGGGUUGUAAACUUCUUUUAUAUGGGAAUAAAACGUUCCACGUGUGGGAUUUUGUAUGUACCAUACGAACAAGGAUCGGCUAACUCCGUGCCAGCAGCCGCGGUAAUACGGAGGAUCCGAGCGUUAUCCGGCUUUAUUGGGUUGAAAGGGAGCGUAGGUGGAUUGUUAAGUCAGUUGUGAAAGUUUGCGGCUCAACCGUAAAAUUGCAGUUGAAACUGGCAGUCUUGAGUACAGUAGAGGUGGGCGGAAUUCGUGGUGUAGCGGUGAAAUGCUUAGAUAUCGCGAAGAACUCCGAUUGCGAAGGCAGUUCACUGGACUGCAACUGACGCUGAGGCUCGAAAGUGUGGGUAUCAAACAGGAUUAGAUACCCUUGUAGUC
RNAcentral lists this ribosomal RNA (460 nucleotides) under uncultured bacterium. Its description in RNAcentral is "partial 16S ribosomal RNA". It matches the Rfam family "Bacterial small subunit ribosomal RNA", at positions 338 to 795 of the family's 1533-position model. The record is from RNAcentral.